This 253-nucleotide ribosomal RNA is filed under the name uncultured bacterium. Its description in RNAcentral is "partial 16S ribosomal RNA". It matches the Rfam family "Bacterial small subunit ribosomal RNA", at positions 524 to 776 of the family's 1533-position model. The record is from RNAcentral.
UACGAAGGGGGCUAGCGUUGCUCGGAAUGACUGGGCGUAAAGGGCGCGUAGGCGGCGAUCACAGUCAGAUGUGAAAUUCCUGGGCUUAACCUGGGGGCUGCAUUUGAUACGUGGUUGCUUGAGUGGGGAAGAGGGUCGUGGAAUUCCCAGUGUAGAGGUGAAAUUCGUAGAUAUCGGGAAGAACACCCGUGGCGAAGGCGGCUCUCUGGAACGCAACUGACGCUGAGACGCGAAAGCGUGGGGAGCAAACAGG